Molecule: ribosomal RNA, 590 nt
Filed under: uncultured bacterium
Lineage: Bacteria
Description: partial 16S ribosomal RNA
Rfam family: Bacterial small subunit ribosomal RNA
Source: RNAcentral
UGGGGAAUCUUCCGCAAUGGACGAAAGUCUGACGGAGCAACGCCGCGUGUAUGAUGAAGGUCUUCGGAUUGUAAAGUACUGUCAUUGGGGAAGAACGGUUUUCUUGAAAAGAUUGAGAAGACAUGACGGUACCCAAGGAGGAAGCCCCGGCUAACUACGUGCCAGCAGCCGCGGUAAUACGUAGGGGGCAAGCGUUGUCCGGAAUUAUUGGGCGUAAAGGGCGCGUAGGCGGGCCUUUAAGUCCGGUGUGAAAGAUCAGGGCUCAACCCUGAGAGUGCAUCGGAAACUGGAGGCCUUGAGGACAGGAGAGGAAAGUGGAAUUCCACGUGUAGCGGUGAAAUGCGUAGAUAUGUGGAGGAACACCAGUGACGAAGGCGACUUUCUGGACUGUAACUGACGCUGAGGCGCGAAAAGCGUGGGGGAGCAAAACAGGAUUAGAUACCCUGGUAGUCCACGCCGUAAACGAUGAGUGCUAGGUGUAGAGGGUAUCGACCCCUUCUGUGCCGCAGUUAACACAAUAAGCACUCCCGCCUGGGGAGUACGGCCGCAAGGUUGAAACUUAAAUGAAUUGACGGGGUCAUAGCGUUUCC